CACUCCAUCGCCAGAGUGUGUCUGCCACGGGUGGGGGAAAGGGGACACCGGAGCUGACCCCUCUUGAUGAGAGACUGGCGGCAAUUAUUGGGGAAUCCCUAUUAAGUGGAGUGGUGACUGAGGCGGAGGGGGACACUGACGCGCCAGAUGCACCAGAUGACACAGUCGCUGGGUGUUCCAGCAGGGCCAGUGGUUCAGAGGCUGCAGCUGAGCAGCCGUCUGGACCCAGCGUCUCCACGGCACGCGGCUCUCAACCCUCCAGCAGCGGACGUGUCCUCACCGAUGCAGUCCUCGAAAUGCAGAGGGAAGUCAUUAACUCAGUCAGAGAGGUGGCAAAGGAGUUGGGCGAAAUCAAGACUGUCCUAAAUGAAAUAAACUGCACAAUGAGGGAAUUCUUGAAUAAAUAAUAUAUUUUUUCCA
Molecule: long non-coding RNA, 420 nt
Organism: Micropterus dolomieu (smallmouth bass)
Lineage: Eukaryota; Metazoa; Chordata; Actinopteri; Centrarchiformes; Centrarchidae
Exons: 2
Source: RefSeq, a predicted model, not a curated record